Molecule: long non-coding RNA, 1805 nt
Organism: Zea mays
Lineage: Eukaryota; Viridiplantae; Streptophyta; Magnoliopsida; Poales; Poaceae
Exons: 3
Source: RefSeq, a predicted model, not a curated record
GUAGCGUGUCGAUCCAGUAUACAUCGCUAAAAAAUCGUAAUCUAAAAUAUCUGUGAAUUUCUUAAAAAUGAAAGAAGAGAAAUAAAAAAAAUCCACGGAUCCUAUCCUAUUCCCCCGCCGCCUCUCCUUCAGAUUUUUCCAGCCGCUUUCUCUCUCCCUGAUUUUUCUACCACCGCGCGCAGUUAUUUUCCUUAUCUUCUUCUUCAGUCGUGUCUCUCUCUUCAUUUAUCUCCUCCGCUUGGGAUAUUUCCUGCCUUGCCGGCUUGCCGCCGGUCUUAUCUCCCACGGCAGCUGAGCACGUCGAGCUGCCUGGUUGUUUCUGUCCGCCAUGGUCCGCCCAGCCGAGGUCUCGCCCAGCUCGCCUGGCCGCUGCGCAGCCCCCUCGGCUUCAUCUCCCUCCUUCUGCCCUCUGCCGGCGCUCCAACUUUCCUCCCAUGGCGCGCCCAGCUCCCUCUGCUCGGUGCUCUCUCGCCCAUGGCACGCAGCCGCGUAUUCUCGCUCGGCCUCCAGCUCCGGCGCCCGGCUGAGUUCCCUGGCGCGCGCCCCUGUUCUUCGUUCCCACGCGCGCAUCUCUCCUGGCCGCCGAGCUCCCUUUCCUGUGGUGGCUGUCUUCCUCUGAGCUCGCCCCCGACCUCUGCUCCUUCCUCGCCGUAGAGUUUCCUUGCCGUGCCCCUGCUCCUCUCUUCUCUGCGCGCGCUUCUCCUUGCUGCGCGCAUCGGUCUCCAGCUCGCGGAGCUCCCUAGCUCGCUCCCUCAGCUCGCCGGCGCUCCUCCCUGUUUCAGCUCGGUGCCCAGCCCCAGCUCCCGGCUCCAGCUCGUCCGCGUCGUCUGGCGCAGUGCUUGCCCCAGCGCCAUCAGUCUUCUAUCCAGCUUCAACCCCACCGUCGGUCUCUAGUUCGUCAUGGCGCUGAAUUUCUUCCUCGUGUCAUCCCUGCUCCUCGCGCGUUGGGCACCGGGAGACUCUCCCUGCUUGGUCUGGCGUGGGCUGUAGCUGCAUGACAAAAGCGCCCCUGUUUUCUGCUCGCCAACCAUGCUCGCUUUACGUCCACCUCGUCGUGUGUCGUCGUGGGCUCAUCGGCAACUCUGGCCAACUAACAGUACCAGCCUCCCUGGCGUUCGUCUCUUCGUCGCGCCUGUAUAGCCCCAGUUGCGACACCAUGCACUCUUCUGGUUGUUGACGUCGUUCCUCGCAUCCCGCCUAUUCGAUGAAACGCCCAAAUCCAUAGACUGUCGACGCACUGCUGCCAUACGCGGUUGUCUCCGUCACUUGCGUCAGCUCGCCAGACCUGCAGCUCUAUACGUCACCCUCUUGUAUCGUCGUCGAGCUCGUCGAACCCCUUCCUUCCCUGCUCGACCUCGACGAACCCCGAAUCCCGGAUGUUACGAAAACGCAAGCGAAGUUCGGGUGACGCUUGUGUGUCCGAUAGAAAGAUCGAAGUCAAAACAAUUGAUGUGUUCGCGCCGACAAAAGAAUCCCAAGAUGAUGUGGAGAAACAAGCCCCAGGUCGAUGCCCCCAAGUGCUCGGCAAAAGGCCUGAACAAGGAUCAUCGUCGUUUAUUCGGAUUGCUAGUCGAUAUGACGAGCCAAGUUGACCUCAAGAUGGUGUAAGGAGUGGUCUUCUUCGCACAACGAUAUCGUCAGUCGGACGAACCUGAAGAUGGAUAAACUAAACGAGUGCCAAGACAAAGGAUGCUCGCCAAGUGGUCACCACUUAACCAACAGUAACCUAGUGUUAUCCAGGCAAGCCCCGGUGCAUUUGCCACCUCCUUGUUGUUUUACUAGUCGGUUGCCUGUGCGUUGCGACG